This is a long non-coding RNA of Haliotis rubra (blacklip abalone), 1975 nucleotides long. RefSeq lists it as uncharacterized. The record is from RefSeq and is a predicted model, not a curated record. NCBI's taxonomy places the organism in Eukaryota, Metazoa, Mollusca, Gastropoda, Lepetellida, Haliotidae. The transcript has 3 exons.
UGCUAGGUGCGAAUAAUCAACACUGUUCUGAUUGUGACGGUCAAACAGGUCACUGUCGGACCAGGUGUCAUCCUGGGUACUUUGACAAGACAUGCAGCUCGAAAUGCAGCCCGGUUGUCGCAAUGGCACAUGUGAACUCUCAAAAGACAAAGGCACUGAUAUAUGUACUGAGGGCUGUAUAGCAGGGUACCAAGGCAAUAGGUGUAAAGUAUUGUGUGACACACCCGUGGGAGGAUGUACUAAGUGUCCAGGUGGAUGUACUGACAGAUACUGCCAGCAGGGAACCUCCUGUGUGGCUGGAUGUGUGGACUCCUACUAUGGCAUUGACUGCAAGAACUGCUCCAUGAGAUGUCUCUCAUGCGACAGAUCCACAGGAACGUGCCAGGUUUGUCAAGCAACACAUUUUGGUCCGCAUUGCGAGCACAGAUGUGAGCAUUGUGUAGGAACGUGUCUGACAGAAUGUUUGGGGGUUGUGAAACCGGAUUUUACGGUCAUCAGUGUGAAAAGAUCUGCAGCAAACAUUGCAGAUUUAAUGCAUCUGGAGGACUGUUUUCACAAGGAAGGAAACCCGUGUUUGUCUGAAUGUGACAAAGUAAGCGGUGAGUGUAGACAUGGUUGUGUCAGUGGUUGGCAUGGCAACAACUGUUCUUCACCAUGUAACCCGAACUGUAAAGAUAUGCGAUGCGACAUUGAUGGUGUCUGUGCUGAUGGCUGUGUGUCUGGGAACAUUGGUAAAGAGUGUAAACCAUGCUCACAUAACUGCAAACAUGGCAUGUGUGGACCCACAGAUUGGUUAUUGUCUUAAAGGAUGCAUUUCUGGGUUUUAUGGUGACUUUUGUAACGGUAAGUUGUGAGAUAUGUCUUGGGGUACAUGUGAUCAGGUUACAGGAAUGUGUUUCCAUGGAUGCAAUAUCAGCGGCGGUGCCUGUGAGUCCACCUGCAAACACAACUGCUCCAGAGAAAGAUGUCUCAGGAGACAUGUGAGAAUGGUCAGCAACCGACACACGGUAUCUUGGGUAUGCAAUAGGAAUACCAACAGCCUUUGUCCUGUUUCUUGUGGGCAUACUGGCCACCAACUGCAUCUGUUACAGAAAAGGGCUGUGUACCAAGAGGGAGGCUGAAGGGGACAGUGUGAAUCCAGAACCUCUCCCACGGCAGCCAACUGCUUCAUCCAUGGAGUACAUGGAGCUACACAGAUACUGGGAAAUACCAGAGGAUGGCAGGGACAUGGAAUAUCAGACGAUCAAUGCAGUCUGACGUAGGGAUCGAUAUUCUGCAAAAUGCUUUCAGGACACAUUGGAUGCAAGUUAUCAAACUACACCAUGGGUGUUUAUGUUAAACCCAGAGUCCUACAUCCAUAUAAUGCGAGGAAUGGAUCAAUGAAAACAUGAUUAUGUGCAUAUAAAAUGUAUGUACUUUUCAUGCUCCACCAAAAGCACUGUGCACCAUUUGUUUGAUAAUUAUCUACAUCUAAACUUCGAUUAUAAAAUGUUUAUGAAACCAUCUCCUCUGUUUAAAACAUGGUUGUUUCUUUGAGUGCUUGUUUAAUAUAUAUGAGACAAUGUCACUUAUUACGUGAUGUUUUGUUCCAAUUUCUCAAAUCCCUCUCACUAAUUUGCUGAACAAACGAGUGGCAUUUAUCAGACUGCUUUUGAGGAUGUUGAAACCAUUCUCACGAAUUCUCCUCUUCUCAAAGCAUCACAUAUGAAAAGACCUUUCAGACUGGCUAUAGAUGCUUGUGACACUGGUUUUGUUGCACAAGCGUGAAUAAUGCUUUGACUUGUUAAGUGUAUGAUACUCCUCUCUCUCUGUAUAUUGCAAUGUGUCAGUGUUAAAUAUUACGAAAUAAUGUUUGAAGUAUUAUUUAUAUUCUACCUUGAUUUGCACUUUCACUCUACUCUGUACUCCCUUUGUUAAACGUUUGUAUUGAUUUGAAAACUUAGUUGAUUUUAAAAUACAAUUGUCAAUAACAGCA